GAUGAACGCUGGCGGCGUGCCUAAUACAUGCAAGUCGAGCGGAAAGGUUCUGCACUUAGUAUUUGACCCUGGUAAGUCUGCGGAUACUGCCAAGAAGCGAUAAUCUCUAGGCUAGAGAUUACUGUCGAAUGUUAAGUGUAGAAUACUCGAGCGGCGGACGGCUGAGUAACACGUAGGAACGUACCCAAAGUGAGGGAUAAGCACCGGAAACGGUGUCUAAUACCGCAUGUGCUCUAAGGAGUAAAGCUUCGGCGCUUUGGGAACGGCCUGCGCAUGAUUAGCUUGUUGGUGAGGUAAUAGCUCACC
Molecule: ribosomal RNA, 306 nt
Filed under: uncultured bacterium
Lineage: Bacteria
Description: bacterial SSU rRNA
Rfam family: Bacterial small subunit ribosomal RNA
Source: RNAcentral